This 350-nucleotide transfer-messenger RNA is filed under the name Spirochaetes bacterium ADurb.Bin269. RNAcentral's name for it is "transfer-messenger RNA, SsrA". It matches the Rfam family "transfer-messenger RNA". Rfam says of the family: Bacterial tmRNA, also known as 10Sa RNA or SsrA, is named for its dual tRNA and mRNA-like properties. Its role is to liberate the mRNA from a stalled ribosome. To accomplish this part of the tmRNA is used as a reading frame that ends in a translation stop signal. Lineage: Bacteria; Pseudomonadati; Spirochaetota. The record is from RNAcentral.
GGGGGUGCACCGGAUUCGACUGCUGUGUCGAAGCUUGGGCUGCAGGUGAGGUUGCCUGUCCUCUGAACGGGCAAAACUUAUAACUGCCGAAAAUAACGACAGUUUCGCUCUCGCUGCGUAAGUAGCAGAGCGCGGAAACCGGAUGAUGCUGCUCCGAAGCAUCCGGAUCUUCCGACGCCAACCGGAGCUUGCUUUCCGUCGGGCCUGAACGGCGGAAAGGACAUCAACCAGGAUACGGAACCGACGCUUGCGGUGCUGCCACCGGGUCCCGACAACCACCUCGCGCCGCUAAACCUGUAGACGCUCCUGUUUUACACUUCAGGACGGGGGUUCGACUCCCCCCAUCUCCA